This 496-nucleotide ribosomal RNA is filed under the name uncultured bacterium. Its description in RNAcentral is "partial 16S ribosomal RNA". It matches the Rfam family "Bacterial small subunit ribosomal RNA", at positions 29 to 507 of the family's 1533-position model. The record is from RNAcentral.
AUGAACGCUGGCGGCGUGCCUCAUCCAUGCAAGUCGAGCGAACGGACGAGAAGCUUGCUUCUCUGAUGUUAGCGGCGGACGGGUGAGUAACACGUGGAUAACCUACCUAUAAGACUGGGAUAACUUCGGGAAACCGGAGCUAAUACCGGAUGAUAUUUUGAACCGCAUGGUUCAAAAGUGAAAGACGGUCUUGCUGUCACUUAUAGAUGGAUCCGCGCUGCAUUAGCUAGUUGGUAAGGUAACGGCUUACCAAGGCAACGAUGCAUAGCCGACCUGAGAGGGUGAUCGGCCACACUGGAACUGAGACACGGUCCAGACUCCUACGGGAGGCAGCAGUAGGGAAUCUUCCGCAAUGGGCGAAAGCCUGACGGAGCAACGCCGCGUGAGUGAUGAAGGUCUUCGGAUCGUAAAACUCUGUUAUUAGGGAAGAACAUAUGUGUAAGUAACUGUGCACAUCUUGACGGUACCUAAUCAGAAAGCCACGGCUAACUACGUG